This 432-nucleotide ribosomal RNA is filed under the name uncultured bacterium. Its description in RNAcentral is "partial 16S ribosomal RNA". It matches the Rfam family "Bacterial small subunit ribosomal RNA", at positions 29 to 506 of the family's 1533-position model. The record is from RNAcentral.
AACGAACGCUGGCGGCAUGCCUAACACAUGCAAGUCGAACGAGACCUUCGGGUCUAGUGGCGCACGGGUGCGUAACGCGUGGGAACCUGCCCUUAGGUUCGGAAUAACUCCCCGAAAGGGGUGCUAAUACCGGAUAAUGUCUUCGGACCAAAGAUUUAUCGCCUUUGGAUGGGCCCGCGUUGGAUUAGCUAGUUGGUAGGGUAAAAGCCUACCAAGGCGACGAUCCAUAGCUGGUCUGAGAGGAUGAUCAGCCACACUGGGACUGAGACACGGCCCAGACUCCUACGGGGGGCAGCAGGGGGGAAUAUUGGACAAGGGGCGAAAGCCUGAUCCAGCAAUGCCGGGUGAGUGAUGAAGGCCUUAGGGUUGUAAAGCUCUUUUACCCGGGAUGAUAAGGACAGUACCGGGAGAAUAAGCCCCGGCUAACUCCGU